UGGGGAAUAUUGGACAAUGGGCGAAAGCCUGAUCCAGCCAUGCCGCGUGUGUGAAGAAGGUCUUCGGAUUGUAAAGCACUUUAAGUUGGGAGGAAGGGCAGUAAGCGAAUACCUUGCUGUUUUGACGUUACCGACAGAAUAAGCACCGGCUAACUCUGUGCCAGCAGCCGCGGUAAUACAGAGGGUGCAAGCGUUAAUCGGAAUUACUGGGCGUAAAGCGCGCGUAGGUGGUUCGUUAAGUUGAAUGUGAAAGCCCCGGGCUCAACCUGGGAACUGCAUCGAAAACUGGCGAGCUAGAGUAGGGCAGAGGGUGGUGGAAUUUCCUGUGUAGCGGUGAAAUGCGUAGAUAUAGGAAGGAACACCAGUGGCGAAGGCGACAACCUGGGCUCAUGCUGACACUGAGGUGCGAAAGCGUGGGGAGCAAACAGG
RNAcentral lists this ribosomal RNA (429 nucleotides) under Pseudomonadota bacterium. RNAcentral describes it as "Proteobacteria bacterium partial 16S ribosomal RNA". It matches the Rfam family "Bacterial small subunit ribosomal RNA", at positions 355 to 776 of the family's 1533-position model. Lineage: Bacteria; Pseudomonadati; Pseudomonadota. The record is from RNAcentral.